GAUGAACGCUGGCGGCGUGCUUAACACAUGCAAGUCGAACGAAGCACUUUAUUUGAUUUCCUUCGGGAUUGAUUAUUUUGUGACUGAGUGGCGGACGGGUGAGUAACGCGUGGGUAACCUGCCUUGUACAGGGGGAUAACAGUUGGAAACGGCUGCUAAUACCGCAUAAGCGCACAGCAUCGCAUGAUGCAGUGUGAAAAACUCCGGUGGUAUAAGAUGGACCCGCGUUGGAUUAGCUAGUUGGUGAGGUAACGGCCCACCAAGGCGACGAUCCAUAGCCGACCUGAGAGGGUGACCGGCCACAUUGGGACUGAGACACGGCCCAAACUCCUACGGGAGGCAGCAGUGGGGAAUAUUGCACAAUGGGCGAAAGCCUGAUGCAGCGACGCCGCGUGAGCGAAGAAGUAUUUCGGUAUGUAAAGCUCUAUCAGCAGGGAAGAUAAUGACGGUAC
RNAcentral lists this ribosomal RNA (452 nucleotides) under uncultured bacterium. Its description in RNAcentral is "bacterial SSU rRNA". It matches the Rfam family "Bacterial small subunit ribosomal RNA", at positions 28 to 478 of the family's 1533-position model. The record is from RNAcentral.